Molecule: small nucleolar RNA, 71 nt
Organism: Sphaeramia orbicularis (orbiculate cardinalfish)
Lineage: Eukaryota; Metazoa; Chordata; Actinopteri; Kurtiformes; Apogonidae
Product: small nucleolar RNA SNORD61
Source: Ensembl
GCAAUGAUGACAAUCUGGUUUUGAACAGUAAUGAAACCACACUACCAAUUCCUCUAAGAAGUUCUGAGCUC